CCACUGUGCAACACAAAAAAAAAGAAGAAGAGUUUUCAACUCUCUCUCCCUCAUCUGAAUACAGCCGGCUCCAGCAACCGGAGCCAACUCCGGCGACGAAACAAACAGCGGUGGUUGUUCCAGCCGCGACAUCCCCAAACACCUCACCCACUCCCCCCGACCUACGCGAUUUCGACACCACCCUCCGACAAAGAUUUGCGGCGGUGGCGAAGCUGGUUUCUCAUGACAGUGGUGGGUUCAGUUUGGUGCGAGUUCGGGACUCCGGUCAACUUUUGCGACACGAUCGGUUCGGGUCAGAUUUCAUGUUCAGGGUAAUCGUUCGUUCUCUUGGUUUUCCCAAUCUCUACUCAUGCGUUAAUUCAAGAAAUUCUCAUACGCAACCAAUGUUGAUGAUGAUGAUGCUAUGAAAUGAAGUAGCGUUGAUGCCUAGAUACACAUAUAUACGUUUAGGUUUAAAUGUUGUAUCAAUUUUGAUUAUGUUGUUAUGUAUUCCUUUUGAACUUGUUGUUAUUUGAAUUCCUUGUAUUGUUGACAAUUUAGUUUAUGAAAUGAAAUCGGU
This 559-nucleotide long non-coding RNA is filed under the name Helianthus annuus (common sunflower). RNAcentral describes it as "hypothetical non coding rna". The record is from RNAcentral. Lineage: Eukaryota; Viridiplantae; Streptophyta; Magnoliopsida; Asterales; Asteraceae.